GGCCCGGUAGCUCAGUGGUUAGAGCGCUGGCUUCGCAAGCCAGGGGACCGGGGUUCGAUUCCCCGACCGGGUGG
RNAcentral lists this transfer RNA (74 nucleotides) under Portunus trituberculatus (swimming crab). RNAcentral describes it as "tRNA-Ala". It matches the Rfam family "tRNA". From Rfam's summary of the family: Transfer RNA (tRNA) molecules are approximately 80 nucleotides in length. Their secondary structure includes four short double-helical elements and three loops (D, anti-codon, and T loops). The record is from RNAcentral. Lineage: Eukaryota; Metazoa; Arthropoda; Malacostraca; Decapoda; Portunidae.